RNAcentral lists this ribosomal RNA (449 nucleotides) under uncultured bacterium. RNAcentral describes it as "partial 16S ribosomal RNA". It matches the Rfam family "Bacterial small subunit ribosomal RNA", at positions 29 to 523 of the family's 1533-position model. The record is from RNAcentral.
AACGAACGCUGGCGGCAUGCCUAACACAUGCAAGUCGAACGAGAUCUUCGGGUCUAGUGGCGCACGGGUGCGUAACGCGUGGGAAUCUGCCCUUUGGUUCGGAAUAACAGUUGGAAACGACUGCUAAUACCGGAUGAUGACGAAAGUCCAAAGAGUUAGCGCCAGAGGAUGAGCCCGCGUAGGAUUAGCUAGUUGGUGGGGUAAAGGCGCACCAAGGCGACGAUCAUUAGCUGGUCUGAGAGGAUUAUCAGCCACACUGGGACUGAGACACGGCCCAGACUCCUACGGGAGGCAGCAGUGGGAAAUAUUGGACAAUGGGCGAAAGCCUGAUCCAGCAAUGCCGCGUGAGUGAUGAAGGCCUUAGGGUUGUAAAGCUCUUUUACCCGGGAUGAUAAUGACAGUACCGGGAGAAUAAGCUCCGGCUAACUCCGUGCCAGCCGCCGCCGUAA